RNAcentral lists this ribosomal RNA (274 nucleotides) under uncultured bacterium. RNAcentral's name for it is "partial 16S ribosomal RNA". It matches the Rfam family "Bacterial small subunit ribosomal RNA", at positions 524 to 796 of the family's 1533-position model. The record is from RNAcentral.
UACGUAGGGUCCAAGCGUUGUCCGGAUUUAUUGGGCGUAAAGAGCUCGUAGGCGGCUCGGUAAGUCGGAUGUGAAACCUCCAGGCUCAACCUGGAGUCGCCAUCCGAUACUGCUGUGGCUUGAGUCCGGUAGGGGAGCAUGGAAUUCCUGGUGUAGCGGUGAAAUGCGCAGAUAUCAGGAGGAACACCAGUGGCGAAGGCGGUGCUCUGGGCCGGUACUGACGCUGAGGAGCGAAAGCGUGGGGAGCAAACAGGAUUAGAAACCCCCGUAGUCC